This 943-nucleotide ribosomal RNA is filed under the name Salmonella enterica. RNAcentral describes it as "partial 23S ribosomal RNA". It matches the Rfam family "Bacterial large subunit ribosomal RNA", at positions 556 to 1503 of the family's 2925-position model. Lineage: Bacteria; Pseudomonadati; Pseudomonadota; Gammaproteobacteria; Enterobacterales; Enterobacteriaceae. RNAcentral also lists the same sequence under 1 other name. The record is from RNAcentral.
CCGUGUACGUACAAGCAGUGGGAGCACCCUUUGGGGUGUGACUGCGUACCUUUUGUAUAAUGGGUCAGCGACUUAUAUUCUGUAGCAAGGUUAACCGUAUAGGGGAGCCGGAGGGAAACCGAGUCUUAACCGGGCGUUAAGUUGCAGGGUAUAGACCCGAAACCCGGUGAUCUAGCCAUGGGCAGGUUGAAGGUUGGGUAACACUAACUGGAGGACCGAACCGACUAAUGUUGAAAAAUUAGCGGAUGACCUGUGGCUGGGGGUGAAAGGCCAAUCAAACCGGGAGAUAGCUGGUUCUCCCCGAAAGCUAUUUAGGUAGCGCCUCGUGAAUUCAUCUCCGGGGGUAGAGCACUGUUUCGGCUAGGGGGCCAUCCCGGCUUACCAACCCGAUGCAAACUGCGAAUACCGGAGAAUGUUAUCACGGGAGACACACGGCGGGUGCUAACGUCCGUCGUGAAGAGGGAAACAACCCAGACCGCCAGCUAAGGUCCCAAAGUCAUGGUUAAGUGGGAAACGAUGUGGGAAGGCCCAGACAGCCAGGAUGUUGGCUUAGAAGCAGCCAUCAUUUAAAGAAAGCGUAAUAGCUCACUGGUCGAGUCGGCCUGCGCGGAAGAUGUAACGGGGCUAAACCAUGCACCGAAGCUGCGGCAGCGACGCUGAUGCGUUGUUGGGUAGGGGAGCGUUCUGUAAGCCUGCGAAGGUGGCCUGUGAGGGUUGCUGGAGGUAUCAGAAGUGCGAAUGCUGACAUAAGUAACGAUAAAGCGGGUGAAAAGCCCGCUCGCCGGAAGACCAAGGGUUCCUGUCCAACGUUAAUCGGGGCAGGGUGAGUCGACCCCUAAGGCGAGGCCGAAAGGCGUAGUCGAUGGGAAACGGGUUAAUAUUCCCGUACUUGGUGUUACUGCGAAGGGGGGACGGAGAAGGCUAUGUUGGCCGGGCGACGGUU